UACGGAGGGAGCUAGCGUUGUUCGGAAUUACUGGGCGUAAAGCGUACGUAGGCGGUUAUUCAAGUCAGAGGUGAAAGCCUGGAGCUCAACUCCAGAACUGCCUUUGAAACUAGAUAGCUAGAAUCUUGGAGAGGUUAGUGGAAUUCCGAGUGUAGAGGUGAAAUUCGUAGAUAUUCGGAAGAACACCAGUGGCGAAGGCGACUAACUGGACAAGUAUUGACGCUGAGGUACGAAAGCGUGGGGAGCAAAC
Molecule: ribosomal RNA, 250 nt
Filed under: uncultured bacterium
Lineage: Bacteria
Description: partial 16S ribosomal RNA
Rfam family: Bacterial small subunit ribosomal RNA
Source: RNAcentral